This 249-nucleotide ribosomal RNA is filed under the name uncultured Gardnerella sp. RNAcentral's name for it is "partial 16S ribosomal RNA". It matches the Rfam family "Bacterial small subunit ribosomal RNA", at positions 107 to 355 of the family's 1533-position model. Lineage: Bacteria; Bacillati; Actinomycetota; Actinomycetes; Bifidobacteriales; Bifidobacteriaceae. The record is from RNAcentral.
UAGAGUAAUGCGUGACCAACCUGCCCCAUGCUCCAGAAUAGCUCUUGGAAACGGGUGGUAAUGCUGGAUGCUCCAACUUGACGCAUGUCUUGUUGGGAAAGUGUUUAGUGGCAUGGGAUGGGGUCGCGUCCUAUCAGCUUGUAGGCGGGGUAAUGGCCCACCUAGGCUUCGACGGGUAGCCGGCCUGAGAGGGCGGACGGCCACAUUGGGACUGAGAUACGGCCCAGACUUCUACGGGAGGCAGCAGCU